RNAcentral lists this ribosomal RNA (460 nucleotides) under uncultured bacterium. RNAcentral describes it as "partial 16S ribosomal RNA". It matches the Rfam family "Bacterial small subunit ribosomal RNA", at positions 338 to 795 of the family's 1533-position model. The record is from RNAcentral.
CCUACGGGAGGCAGCAGUGAGGAAUAUUGGUCAAUGGACGAGAGUCUGAACCAGCCAAGUAGCGUGAAGGAUGACUGCCCUAUGGGUUGUAAACUUCUUUUAUAUGGGAAUAAAAUGUUCCACGUGUGGGAUUUUGUAUGUACCAUAUGAAUAAGGAUCGGCUAACUCCGUGCCAGCAGCCGCGGUAAUACGGAGGAUCCGAGCGUUCUCCGGAUUUAUUGGGUUUAAAGGGAGCGUAGGUGGAUUGUUAAGUCAGUUGUGAAAGUUUGCGGCUCAACCGUAAAAUUGCAGUUGAAACUGGCAGUCUUGAGUACAGUAGAGGGGGGCGGAAUUCGUGGUGUAGCGGUGAAAUGCUUAGAUAUCACGAAGAACUCCGAUUGCGAAGGCAGUUCACUGGACUGCAACUGACACUGAGGCUCGAAAGUGUGGGUAUCAAACAGGAUUAGAUACCCUUGUAGUC